UGGGCUUUAGGUUUGGGUUAGGGGUUGGGCCGAUUUAAUUUGAAGUGUUGGGCCGAGAGUUGGGCCUUUGUCUUAAAUUUUGACUUGGGCCGAUUUUAAUUGAGGGUGGGCUUGCGAAUUGGGCUCAGUUUAUUUAAUUAGUUAUGGGCCGAUUUUUAUGAGUACUUGGGCCGAGAUUUUUUAAUUAAAUGGGCUGGAUUAUUUCUUAAUUUUGGGCCGAUUUUCUUUUAUUAAGUUGGGCCUUUGAUUAUUUUAAAUCAUGGGCUGCCCAAGUAUUUAUUUAAUUGGAUUUGUGCAGAUUUUAUUUAAAGGAGCUACACUAUUAUAAUUAAUUAGACUUAUUAAGUUUAAUUAAUUAUUUUCAAAGAGUAAAUUUUUAUAAUAAUAUUACAUUAUUAUUAUAAGCAUAUUUUAAGUAAUUUCUUAUUAUAUGCCAAGCAUGACAUGAAUUUGCAUUAUAUUUUUGCAAUAAAAGUAUUUAAGAUUUAAUUGGUUUUAUUUAUAAUUCCAAUUAUUAAAAGAUGAGUAAGAAUAUUGUUGGUGUUCUUAACUCAAGAGAAAAUGUUUUCAAUUAUUUAUUCAUUAAAUUUUGAAAACCCGGCUAAGUGAAUCAUAGAAUAUUAAGCACUACACCAUGACUUAAGAUUAGAUUCAAGGAGACCUAUUAAGAAUAGAUUUCUUGUAGGCUUUGAGCAUCAGGAGGAUUAGCACUGCUAUUCCGAUUCAGAGAUAAGGUUAAACGACAGGCUUUGCCUAUACAGGUUGGCUGGCUGGUGCUGACGGGACGGAGCUGAGGCUAGCGAUAAAUUCCUAUGUUAGACUUCCGCUGUAGCAAUUACUCAUAUCAGUCUUUUGUUUUCCCAACUUAAGUUCUUCAUGUUAAAUUUCAAAUGAUAUACCUGACCGAGCUUAGACUCUUCACUACUAAAUUUAUGCCAAUGAAUGUCGGUUGUCAGAAGCAUGAAACAAAACUUGUGAUCCAAAGGGGCAUAGCCCGACUUUCUAUCCUAUUUCGGGUUUUUACAAG
Long non-coding RNA from Salvia miltiorrhiza (redroot sage), 1027 nucleotides. RefSeq lists it as uncharacterized. The transcript is spliced from 2 exons. The record is from RefSeq and is a predicted model, not a curated record. Lineage: Eukaryota; Viridiplantae; Streptophyta; Magnoliopsida; Lamiales; Lamiaceae.